AUGCAAGUCGAGCGAGGAGAUCCUCGGGAUGAUCCUAGCGGCGGACGGGUGAGUAACACGUGGGCAACCUGCCUCAUAGAGAGGAAUAGCCUUCCGAAAGGGAGAUUAAUACCUCAUAACAUUGCAGUUUCGCAUGGAACAGCAAUUAAAGGAGCAAUCCGCUAUGAGAUGGGCCCGCGGCGCAUUAGCUAGUUGGUGAGGUAACGGCUCACCAAGGCGACGAUGCGUAGCCGACCUGAGAGGGUGAUCGGCCACAUUGGGACUGAGACACGGCCCAGACUCCUACGGGAGGCAGCAGUGGGGAAUAUUGCACAAUGGGGGAAACCCUGAUGCCAGCAACGCCGCGUGAGUGAUGACGGCCUCCGGGUUGUAAAGCUCUGUCUUCAGGGACGAUAAUGACGGUACCUGAGGAGGAAGCCACGGCUAACUACGUGCCAGCCGCCGC
This 445-nucleotide ribosomal RNA is filed under the name uncultured bacterium. Its description in RNAcentral is "bacterial SSU rRNA". It matches the Rfam family "Bacterial small subunit ribosomal RNA", at positions 55 to 518 of the family's 1533-position model. The record is from RNAcentral.